This 495-nucleotide ribosomal RNA is filed under the name uncultured bacterium. RNAcentral's name for it is "partial 16S ribosomal RNA". It matches the Rfam family "Bacterial small subunit ribosomal RNA", at positions 28 to 507 of the family's 1533-position model. The record is from RNAcentral.
GACGAACGCUGGCGGCGUGCCUAAUACAUGCGAGUAGAACGCUGAAGGAGGAGCUUGCUUCUCUGGAUGAGUUGCGAACGGGUGAGUAACGCGUAGGUAACCUGCCUGGUAGCGGGGGAUAACUAUUGGAAACGAUAGCUAAUACCGCAUAAUAGCAGUUAUUGCAUGAUAACUGUUUGAAAGGUGCAAUUGCACCACUACCAGAUGGACCUGCGUUGUAUUAGCUAGUUGGUGGGGUAACGGCUCACCAAGGCGACGAUACAUAGCCGACCUGAGAGGGGGAUCGGCCACACUGGGACUGAGACACGGCCCAGACUCCUACGGGAGGCAGCAGUAGGGAAUCUUCGGCAAUGGACGGAAGUCUGACCGAGCAACGCCGCGUGAGUGAAGAAGGUUUUCGGAUCGUAAAGCUCUGUUGUAAGAGAAGAACGAGUGUGAGAGUGGAAAGUUCACACUGUGACGGUAUCUUACCAGAAAGGGACGGCUAACUACGUG